This 461-nucleotide ribosomal RNA is filed under the name uncultured bacterium. RNAcentral's name for it is "bacterial SSU rRNA". It matches the Rfam family "Bacterial small subunit ribosomal RNA", at positions 30 to 507 of the family's 1533-position model. The record is from RNAcentral.
AUUGAACGCUGGCGGUAGGCUUAACACAUGCAAGUCGUGCGAGAAAGUAUCUUCGGAUAUGAGUAGAGCGGCGGACGGGUGAGUAACGCGUAGGAAUCUACCUAGUAGAAGGGGAUAGCCCGGGGAAACCCGGAUUAAUACCGUAUACCUCCUUCGGGAGAAAGAAGGCCUCUCUUUGAAGCUUUCGCUAUUAGAUGAGCCUGCGUAAGAUUAGCUUGUUGGUGAGGUAAAGGCUCACCAAGGCGACGAUCUUUAGCUGGUCUGAGAGGAUGAUCAGCCACACUGGGACUGAGACACGGCCCAGACUCCUACGGGAGGCAGCAGUGGGGAAUUUUCCGCAAUGGGCGAAAGCCUGACGGAGCAACGCCGCGUGAGGGAUGAAGGCCUCUGGGCUGUAAACCUCUUUUAUCAAGGAAGAAGAUCUGACGGUACUUGAUGAAUAAGCCACGGCUAAUUCCGUG